Molecule: long non-coding RNA, 582 nt
Organism: Carassius carassius (crucian carp)
Lineage: Eukaryota; Metazoa; Chordata; Actinopteri; Cypriniformes; Cyprinidae
Exons: 3
Source: RefSeq, a predicted model, not a curated record
AGCCCGAUGCUCACGUCUGCCCUUGCAAGCAUGGCCGACAACUCUCAGUCCGAUUCGGCUGUAGCGACAUUGCCCGAGGGGGGCAGCCCUGCUGAAUCCUCAUCCUCAGAUGCCGAUAGCCCAUCUCCCAAUGCUGCAAUCGACAUGUGAUCCUCGGCCGACACACCGAAAGACACGCUGAGACCGCUGUGAGACGGCUCAGCAGAACCAAUCGGCAGCUGCACGGGACAUGCACUGUGGGAGGAGUGAGAGGUCCGUGGGGUGUGGCCCGGUGAAGAAGCUUUCACUGUCACCCUCAGAUCUCCAAGAGGGCCAGCUCACAGUCCCCUGCUUGAGCCAGAGAAACCAGAUAGGAUUUGAAACAGCAUCCUGGAUCAUUGUGGGACACCAUUGUCAAAAGCAAACCUACAACUUUUGGCAUAUCAAAGGUCAAAGGCCACUCAUUCUUGUGUAUAAAUCAGUGAAGGGCGCCAAGGAUGUCAACAAAAAGCAACAAAUGCAUGUUGAAAGGUUGAAAUUAUUCCUAUAUUUACUAUAUAAUUAUAAUUUAUAUUCAUACUAUAUAUUUAAUCAAACUAUGUA